UGAAUCAAGAAAAAUAAAAAGAAGGGGUACAUUAAAAAAAGGCAACAAUAAUAAUUGUUGUUGCAUUAUUACGAUAACACACACCAUAUAUUCACAACGUACACGUUAUUAUUAAAGCAAAAAAAUCGCCUUAGGCACCGAAACCUAACUUUACCUCACGUACCGUUGAUUGUUUCCUUUCACGAUGUACAAAGCAACAUUUGCGUUGGUAAUUCUGAUAAGUUUAACAUUGAAUGGAAUCCACUCUGGAAUAUUUAAUAUUAUGAGACCUUGGAGGUCUCUUGAUGCAAAAGCUAUAGGAACUUGGAUCGCGGAAAAUCCUUUUUUUGGGAAACCGAAAAAGAAUCAACCCGAUUUUAGCCUUGAUGUUCCUAAAGAUGUGGAAGUCGUUGUGCAUUUAGUUAAAAAGAAACCAGAGGAGAAUCAAAAUGAAAUUGAAUCGACCACUAAUUUGGAUUUAGAAUCAAAUUGAUGAAAUUGUUUGAAAAAAAUAAUUUAAAUAAAAGAAAAGAAAAAUGAGUAAUGGGUAAUUUUCUUGUUUUAAUCGUCCAUAAAACACUAUCAAAUGAUUUAAUGAAAUGAUUUAAUGAGUCAUUGACCACAAACCGACGUUCAUCAAAGACCGAAACGAUUCGGAUCUUAUGGGUUGUAUGAAACCGCGUGGGUGGCUUAUAAGUAAUAGCAGUCGAGACUCUGUAAUUCAAUUUCGAGCCGUCCCUAUUGCGGGAACAUUCACUUUUGCACUUAUGAAAACGGACACCGGGAAUCCACACUCUGGUCGUUCCAUCGCGUUACAGUGUCCAUUUCUUGUUACCUUAGAGCCGAGGUUUAUUUACAACCAUGUUCAAAGGAUAUCUCCAACUUAUUCUUUUCAUUGGAAUAUUAUCCUGUAUAAGUCAAUGUUCUAUUUUCGAUGCUGUAAGUGAUUUUAAAAGUUGGGCUGGAGAAUCUAUUACUUCAAUUCGAAAUUUAUUUAAAAAACCACGACCACGUGAUCGCCCCCAUAUCGAUGUUAUAAAUUACGGUGGAAUGAAUGUAACACAACUAACUUCAUCGCAACCUUAAUUCGUAAUAAAAUAAGAUUAACAAAUUAAAUCUAUUUGUCUC
Onthophagus taurus is the source of this 1107-nucleotide long non-coding RNA. RefSeq lists it as uncharacterized. The record is from RefSeq and is a predicted model, not a curated record. Lineage: Eukaryota; Metazoa; Arthropoda; Insecta; Coleoptera; Scarabaeidae.